This 440-nucleotide ribosomal RNA is filed under the name uncultured Sphingomonas sp. RNAcentral's name for it is "bacterial SSU rRNA". It matches the Rfam family "Bacterial small subunit ribosomal RNA", at positions 338 to 795 of the family's 1533-position model. The record is from RNAcentral. Lineage: Bacteria; Pseudomonadati; Pseudomonadota; Alphaproteobacteria; Sphingomonadales; Sphingomonadaceae.
CCUACGGGAGGCAGCAGUGGGGAAUAUUGGACAAUGGGCGCAAGCCUGAUCCAGCAAUGCCGCGUGAGUGAUGAAGGCCCUAGGGUUGUAAAGCUCUUUUACCCGGGAAGAUAAUGACUGUACCGGGAGAAUAAGCCCCGGCUAACUCCGUGCCAGCAGCCGCGGUAAUACGGAGGGGGCUAGCGUUGUUCGGAAUUACUGGGCGUAAAGCGCACGUAGGCGGCUUUGUAAGUCAGAGGUGAAAGCCUGGAGCUCAACUCCAGAACUGCCUUUGAGACUGCAUCGCUUGAAUCCAGGAGAGGUCAGUGGAAUUCCGAGUGUAGAGGUGAAAUUCGUAGAUAUUCGGAAGAACACCAGUGGCGAAGGCGGCUGACUGGACUGGUAUUGACGCUGAGGUGCGAAAGCGUGGGGAGCAAACAGGAUUAGAUACCCCAGUAGUC